This 815-nucleotide long non-coding RNA is filed under the name Lynx pardinus (Iberian lynx). Lineage: Eukaryota; Metazoa; Chordata; Mammalia; Carnivora; Felidae. The record is from RNAcentral.
GAGCUCCCGGUGGCAGCCGGCCUAUAGCCGGGCCCACAGCGGGUCUGAUCGCCAUGACGGUGAGGACAGGGACCCCCAUCCGUCCAGUACCAGUGCCAGGAGCGUGCUGUUCAGGCCUUUUGACAAUGCAGGGGAGAAAGAACCACCUUCUCCACGUUACAGGCGGAUAAACAGAAGCUUUAAAAGGGUAAGUGACUCACGCAAGCUCCCCCCGGGGGUGAGGAGAACAGCCCCGGUCCCCAAAAGACGGAAGGAGAGAGGGAGAGAGGGAGGCAGGACAAUGACGGUAACUUGCCACAUGGUUAUGUCUCCACCUGAAACAGGGAAUGUUUCUUCUGAACUAGAAACCGUUUUCUCUGUGAAUUCCUAGGGAUUUGGAAACGCACUGGCUGAUACAGGGGCCACCAGCCACGUGUGGCCUUUGAAAUGUGACUGGUCUGAGGGCACCAGGGUGACUCAGUCAGUCAAGCAUCCGACUCUUGAUUGCACCUCAGGUCAUGAGCUCACGGUUCACGAAUUCAAGCCCCACAUCGGGCUCUGUGCUGACAGCACGGAGCCUGCUUGGGAUUCUCUGUCUCCCUCUGCCCCUCCCGCACCCCUAAAUAAUUAAAAAUAAAAACAUUUUGAAACGUGGCUGGUCUGAAAUGAGAUGUGCCGUAAAUGUAAAAGACACGUCGGACCUCAAAGGCUAAGAACAAAAAACAAGAAUGUAAGAUAACUUCGUGAUAAUGUAUAUUAACCACACGUUAAAGUGCUACUAUAGCGAGUUAAAUCAAAUCUGUCAUUAAAUUUCCUCUUACCAGUUUCUGUUUUCC